This 1175-nucleotide long non-coding RNA is filed under the name Heterocephalus glaber (naked mole-rat). RNAcentral describes it as "lncRNA (ENSHGLG00000050516.1)". The record is from RNAcentral. Lineage: Eukaryota; Metazoa; Chordata; Mammalia; Rodentia; Bathyergidae.
CGCUGAAAUAGUUAAAUGUUUCCAAAAUAUUUUUAAAAUAAAUGGGCAGAAAGUACUUGUGCUACUCCUACUUUCCCCCAAACAAUAUCUGGCCAGAAUGAGAUCAAUCAGACAUUGGAUACUUUCAUUCCGGGUGUCACCCAGGGCACUCUGCACUCCCACCCGGCGGACGACUGCUCGCGCCCCCGACCAGUGAUAACUGUGACGAGAUGAGGAGACCAAUUUCUGAAAGUCGACUUCCAUGGUCCAGUGUGUGUUAAAAUCCCCUCAUAAACAGUGUAAAUCAGAGCCCUACAGUACUGAAUUAGGCCGGGCAACAGGUACAGUAGGAGAGAAGACAGAGAAAGAGAAACGAGGGUAGAAGGAGAAGAAAAGGAGGUGAAGGAGGAAGAGAAAGGAGCGUAGUAGAGGACCCGAGUGUUCUAGCCUGGAAGACCCUGGAUGCACGGUUCGUUAGGACUACCAGUGAUGUCGCCUUAAUCGCAGGGACUCUGAUGCAAUGUGGCAGGACGGGAGAAACAUCCUCUACUUAUCUAUAAGCCCAGUGGAAUCAUGAGAAAACCCCAGACAAACCGAUACACCACCCUGCCUCCACAUCCUGCCAAGGUCGUGGAAAACCAAAGAGACCGAGAAACUGGCACCAGGCAGAGGACACUGGAGAAACAAGAUGACUAACUGUACUGUGACAUUCUGGUUUGGGUCUUAGAAUUUUAAAAAAGUGAAAGAUAUUGGAGCUAAAAACCAUAAAAUAUAAAUGACGGUUGCAGUCUGUUUCAUAGUAACAGAUAGCCAUUGGUCUUUGAGUAUUGACAAACGUAUCCUGGCCAUGUAGUCAAUAAACAUCAAGGGAAACUGGGAAUAUAUGGGCGCACUCUGUGUAUCUUUGCAACUUUUAAGCAAGUCCAAAUUUAUUCAAAAAUCAAAAUGUAUCAAAAAUUGCCACUGUCAGCUGAGUGCGGUGGUGGGUGCCUGUAAUCCCAGCCCUCUGGCAGGCUGAGGCAGGAGAACUGCAAUUUUGACCCAGUCUGGGCAACUUAGUGACUUAGUCUCAAAACAAAAAAAGAGUUGGCUGUAGCUCAGUGAGAGAGCUUAGGUUCAUUCCCUGGGACAAAAAGCAAAAACAAAAGCAAAAAACAAAAGAAGAAAGAAAGAAAAAGCAACUGUCAACAGUUUAG